AUACGGAGGAUGCGAGCGUUAUCCGGAUUUAUUGGGUUUAAAGGGAGCGUAGGUGGGAUAUUAAGUCAGCUGUGAAAGUUUGGGGCUCAACCUUAAAAUUGCAGUUGAUACUGGUUUCCUUGAAUACGGUACAGGUGGGCGGAAUUCGUGGUGUAGCGGUGAAAUGCUUAGAUAUCACGAAGAACUCCGAUCGCGAAGGCAGCUCACCGGGCCGGAACUGACACUGAUGCUCGAAAGUGCGGGUAUCAAACAGGAUUAGAUACCCUGGUAGUCCGCACAGUAAACGAUGAAUACUCGCUGUUUGCGAUACACGGUAAGCGGCCAAGCGAAAGCGUUAAGUAUUCCACCUGGGGAGUACGCCGGCAACGGUGAAACUCAAAGGAAUUGGCGGGG
RNAcentral lists this ribosomal RNA (393 nucleotides) under uncultured bacterium. Its description in RNAcentral is "partial 16S ribosomal RNA". It matches the Rfam family "Bacterial small subunit ribosomal RNA", at positions 523 to 918 of the family's 1533-position model. The record is from RNAcentral.